CUGAAUGUACCGGAAGAAUAAGGAUCGGCUAACUCCGUGCAGCAGCCGCGUAUACGGAGGAUCCAAGCGUUAUCCGGAUUUAUUGGUUUAAAGGGUGCGUAGGCGGCCCGUUAAGUCAGGGGUGAAAGACGGUAGCUCAACUAUCGCAGUGCCUUUGAUACUGACGGGCUUGAAUGAACUAGAGGUAGGCGGAAUGAGACAAGUAGCGGUGAAAUGCAUAGAUAUGUCUCAGAACACCGAUUGCGAAGGCAGCUUACUAUGGUUUAAUUGACGCUGAGGCACGAAAGCGUGGGGAUCAAACAGGAUUAGAUACCCUGGUAGUCCACGCCCUAAACGAUGAACACUCGCUGUUGGCGAUACACAGUCAGCGGCUAAGCGAAAGCGUUAAGUGUUCCACCUGGGGAGUACGGUCGCAAGAUUGAAACUCAAAGGAAUUGACGGGGGCCCGCACAAGCGGAGGAGCAUGUGGUUUAAUUCGAUGAUACGCGAGGAACCUUACCCGGGCUUGAAAGUUAGUGAAUCAUUUAGAGAUAAAUGAGUGAGCAAUCACACGAAACUAGGUGCUGCAUGGCUGUCGUCAGCUCGUGCCGUGAGGUGUUGGGUUAAGUCCCGCAACGAGCGCAACCCCUAUGUUUAGUUGCCAGCACGUUAAGGUGGGGACUCUAAACAGACUGCCUGUGCAAACAGAGAGGAAGGAGGGGACGACGUCAAGUCAUCAUGGCCCUUACGUCCGGGGCUACACACGUGCUACAAUGGAUGGUACAGCGGGCAGCUACAUAGCAAUAUGAUGCGAAUCUCACAAAGCCAUUCACAGUUCGGAUUGGGGUCUGCAACUCGACCCCAUGAAGUUGGAUUCGCUAGUAAUCGCGUAUCAGCAAUGACGCGGUGAAUACGUUCCCGGGCCUUGUACACACCGCCCGUCAAGCCAUGGAUAGUUGGGGGUACCUAC
This 949-nucleotide ribosomal RNA is filed under the name uncultured bacterium. RNAcentral describes it as "bacterial SSU rRNA". It matches the Rfam family "Bacterial small subunit ribosomal RNA", at positions 469 to 1424 of the family's 1533-position model. The record is from RNAcentral.